RNAcentral lists this long non-coding RNA (1818 nucleotides) under Chrysolophus pictus (golden pheasant). RNAcentral's name for it is "lncRNA (ENSCPIG00010001491.1)". The record is from RNAcentral. Lineage: Eukaryota; Metazoa; Chordata; Aves; Galliformes; Phasianidae.
UCGGGGGCAUUGGGGGCAAUGGGGGCAACGAGGGUAAUGCAGGCAUUGGGUCCAUUGGUUCCCUUGGUUCUGUUGGUUCCCUUGGUUCCGUUGGUUCUGUUGGGUCCGUUGGUUCCGUUGGGUCCGUUGGUUCCACUGGGUCCAUUGGUUUCAUUGGUUCCGUUGGUUCUGUGGUUCCAUUGGUGCUAUUGGUUCCGUUGGUUCUAUUGGGUCCAUUGGUUCCAUUGGUUCUGUUAGUUCUGUUGGUUCUAUUGGUUGCAUUGGUUCCAUUGGGUCCGUUGGUUCCAUUGGUUCCAUUGGUUCUGUUAGUUCUGUUGGGUCCAUUGGUUCCGUUGGGUCCACUGGUUCCAUUGGGUCCACUGGUUCCGUUGGGUCCAUUGGUACCAACGAUACCAUUGGUUCCAUUGGUUCCAUCAGUACCAUCGACACCAUUGGUUCCGUUGGUUCCGUUGGGUCCAUCGGUUCCGUUGGUUCCGUUGGGUCCAUCGGUACCACUGCUUCCAUUGCUUCCACCGGUUCCAUUCUUCCCAUUGUUUCCAUUGGUGCCACGGUGGUGCUGCGGUGUUGCCAUUGACUCCCCCAGUCCCGGUUCCGGUUCCGGUUCCGGUUCUGGUUCCUCCUCCGGUUCAGGCGUGCAGGCAGCGGUUGAAGGCGUUGUAGGCGGACUCGAGGUCGAAGAGCAUCUGGCGGACCUGGGAGUCGUCCAGCUCGUCGGCAGCCGACAUGGAGCUCAGCGUCUGCAGCCUGCGACGGCAGCGGGAUUUGGGAUCAGCAGCACGCACCAGGGGACCCCGAACGACCCCAUAAGGGCCCCAUAGGGUCCCUGAGCACAUAAGGAACCCAUAGACCACCCUGACACCAGAAGGACCCCGUAAAGACCCCAUAAGGACCUCAUAAGGACACCACAAGGACUCAUAAAACCCAUAAGGAACGCAUAGACAAUCCUGACCCCAUAAGGACCCCAUAAGGACUCCAUAACCCCAUAAGAUACCAUAAGACCCCAUAAGACCCCAGAAGGACCCCAUAAGACCCCAUAAGGACACCACAGGGACCUGUAGAAUCCAUAAAGAAACCAUAGAUCGCCCUGACCCCAUAAGGACCCCAUAAGACCCCAUAUGACCCCAUAAGAACACCACAAGGACCUGUAGAACCCAUAAGGAACCCAUAGACCACCCUGACCCCAUUAGGACCCCAUAAGGACCCCAUAACCCCAUCAAAACCCAUAAAACCCCAUAAGACCCCAUAUGACCCCAUAAGGACCUCAUAUGACCCCAUAAGGACACCAGAAGGAUCUGUAGAAACCAUAAGGAACCCAUAGACAACCCUGACCCCAUAAGGACCCCAUAACCCCAUAAAACCCCGUAAGAUCCCAUACUGACCCCAAAAGGCCCCAUAAAGAUCCCAUAUGACCCCAUAAGGACACCACAAGGACCUGUAGAACCCAUAAGGAACCCAUAGAACACCCUGACCCCAUAAGGACCCCAUAAGACCCCAUCAAAACCCGUAAAACCCCAUAAGACCCCAUGAAGACUCAAUAUGACCCCAUAAGGACACCACAAGGACCCAUAGAAACCAUAAGGAACCCAUAAAACACCCUGACCCCAUAAGGACCCCAUAAGGACCCCAUAACCACAUCAAAACCCAUAAAACCCCAUAAGACCCCAUAAGGAUCCCAUAAGGACCCUAUUAAGACCCCAUAAGACCCCAUAAAGACCCUAUAAAGACCCCAUAGGGACCCCAAAAAACCCUAUAAACCCCAUAAGACCCCAUAAGGACCCCACAAGACCCCAUAAGACCCCACAAGGACCUCAUAGGACC